UCGCUGUGAUGAUUGUGUUCCAAACAUUUGUAGUUUCCACCAGAAAGGUUUUUCUUUUGUGUUGGCUCAGCCCUUCCUUGGAUGUCUGAGUGA
Podarcis muralis (Common wall lizard) is the source of this 93-nucleotide small nucleolar RNA. Its record names the gene SNORD14. It matches the Rfam family "Small nucleolar RNA SNORD14". From Rfam's summary of the family: U14 small nucleolar RNA (U14 snoRNA) is required for early cleavages of eukaryotic precursor rRNAs. NCBI's taxonomy places the organism in Eukaryota, Metazoa, Chordata, Lepidosauria, Squamata, Lacertidae. The record is from Ensembl.